Silurus meridionalis is the source of this 758-nucleotide long non-coding RNA. RefSeq lists it as uncharacterized. Lineage: Eukaryota; Metazoa; Chordata; Actinopteri; Siluriformes; Siluridae. The transcript is spliced from 3 exons. The record is from RefSeq and is a predicted model, not a curated record.
GCGUAGCCCCUUUAAGAGGUAGGCCCCAGUGAGUGCAUUGCCCCUUUAAGAGGAAGUGUCCCGAUUAGCGUGAGCGAAUGAACAAAUGCUUCGGAUUCCGUACUCUUAUAAAGGGUCUGAGCAGCUGUGAGGAAUGGUUGCUGCUUGAUUGUCUGUUUGUUUCAUCGUCAGAUUUCUUCUCUAAUAAGGUGAGCAAUCGAUGUUUUCUUUUGUGUUCAGGUAGAAAGAAGUAUUGUUUUAUGGGGUUUUUCUCUUCCAUAGGCUGCGUUUAUCCUUCAUGUGCAAGUGUUGUGCAUUUAAUAAGAGUGGAUCACCUGGGAGCACUGGUUGGAUUGUGGGUGUUGGUCCUUCGAUGGUGGAAUCUGUGCUACGGUUUACACUGCAUGCUGUGUGAAUUUUAUGAAUUUACGAAGGACAGCGGUGUAUCAAACUUCACUAUUCAACAAGCAUUGUAAGAGGCUUCUGGUGGACACGAUUUCCUGGUCUUCAUUAAGAUGGACAACGAGCUGCAGGAGCUUCGAGACUUGGUGAUCCAGUUAAGGGCAGAAAAUGAGAGACUUGUACAUGAACGGACUGAGGUGACAUUAGUACCUUCAUCAGGGGCCUCUGAUUCUAACAACCCUGGUUCACAUAAUAAUUUUACCCCAACAACGGGCUCUGAACGUCUUUUAUAUGUGCCACGAGAGAGAAAAUGUCCCUUGUUCCGUGGUAAUGUAGGGCUCAAUAUUGUUGAAUGGAUUGAAGAGGUACGUGCAAGU